Long non-coding RNA from Nerophis ophidion (straightnose pipefish), 821 nucleotides. RefSeq lists it as uncharacterized. Lineage: Eukaryota; Metazoa; Chordata; Actinopteri; Syngnathiformes; Syngnathidae. The transcript has 4 exons. The record is from RefSeq and is a predicted model, not a curated record.
CCACUUGUGAGCCACGUAUAGUAAUUAAACAAUAUGAAAGUAGUUUUUGUGAUUUAAAAAAAAAAGUCAAACUGGAAAAAACAACGUAAUGAAAAUGGAAUUAGCGUUCUCGGUCACAUGAGAUUGAAAUUUUCUCUAUGAGCCAGUCACAAGUAAUUUAUUGACGGUCCCUUAACCGCACGAUUCAGCACGGGCUGACAUGCGCAGAAUGAGCUGAAACGCCGGGGUCAAACAGCAGACAUAUUCUACUUGUAACUAACUUCACCUCUGUCGAAGGAACACUGCUGUGAAGACUGUACGUGUACUCUUAGGAAGAGUCUUUUACCAUACACACAACAAAAGUAAGGUGCUGUGUGAGAUUAGGCAACAUAGAUUCUCCGGUUUCAUCCGUAAGUGACUCAGCAGCUCUGGAAGAUGCCAUUCAACACAACGAAACAGAUGACAACUUGAAAAAGCAUGGAGGUCUCCAACUUCUUUGUGUGUGGCUAGGUCAAGGAAAUUGGUAUCAAGACUCUACCGGAUAAACGAUGCAUAGUUUUUGCUCGGGCUACACAAGACAGCGUGGAGGUGAAUGACGGGGAAUAUUCAAAGACCAUCACAAUCUAAUCCAUUGGCUUCACCUGCGGAUCUUGCUCAGCGUCAGUCGUACGUGAGGAAACUUCUCCUUGAAGGUUUCGUUCAUGUCCUUCUUCAGGUCAGAUGGUUUGACGUACUCAAUGACCGUCGUCUGCCAAGACAGAAAAAAAUAGCUAAGUUACGAGAGUCAGGGAAAAGAAGAACGAGUCAUUUUUAAAUAUCUUUAAAACAAAAAAAUAUUUUGU